Molecule: ribosomal RNA, 497 nt
Filed under: uncultured bacterium
Lineage: Bacteria
Description: partial 16S ribosomal RNA
Rfam family: Bacterial small subunit ribosomal RNA
Source: RNAcentral
GAUGAACGCUGGCGGCGUGCCUAAUACAUGCAAGUCGAGCGCAGAAAGGUGGUACUUGCACCUACUGGAUUAGCGGCGGACGGGUGAGUAACACGUAGGUAACCUGCCUUUGAGCGUGGGAUAACAUUUGGAAACGAAAGCUAAUACCGCAUAAAAACUUUAAACACAAGGUUUAAGUUUGAAAGAUGCAAUUGCAUCACUUAAAGAUGAUCCCGCGUUGUAUUAGCUAGUUGGUGAGGGAAAGGCUCACCAAGGCGAUGAUACAUAGCCGACCUGAGAGGGUGAACGGCCACAUUGGGAAUGAGACACGGCCCAAACUCCUAAGGGAGGCAGCAGUAGGGGAUCUUCGGGAAUGGAGGAAAGUCUGGACGAGCAACGGCGCGUGGGUGAAUGAGGGUUUCGGGUCGUAAAACUCUGUUGAUAGAGGAGGAAGUAGGGGAGAGUGGAAAGUUCAUGAAGUGACGGUACCUACUCAGAAAGCGACGGCUAACUACGUG